This 547-nucleotide ribosomal RNA is filed under the name uncultured bacterium. RNAcentral describes it as "bacterial SSU rRNA". It matches the Rfam family "Bacterial small subunit ribosomal RNA", at positions 355 to 896 of the family's 1533-position model. The record is from RNAcentral.
UGGGGAAUAUUGCGCAAUGGGGGGAACCCUGACGCAGCCAUGCCGCGUGAAUGAAGAAGGCCUUAGGGUUGUAAAGUUCUUUCGGUAUUGAGGAAGGUUGAUGUGUUAAUAGCACAUCAAAUUGACGUUAAAUACAGAAGAAGCACCGGCUAACUCCGUGCCAGCAGCCGCGGUAAUACGGAGGGUGCGAGCGUUAAUCGGAAUAACUGGGCGUAAAGGGCACGCAGGCGGUUAUUUAAGUGAGGUGUGAAAGCCCCGGGCUUAACCUGGGAAUUGCAUUUCAGACUGGGUAACUAGAGUACUUCAGGGAGGGGUAGAAUUCCACGUGUAGCGGUGAAAUGCGUAGAGAUGUGGAGGAAUACCGAAGGCGAAGGCAGCCCCUUGGGAAUGUACUGACGCUCAUGUGCGAAAGCGUGGGGAGCAAACAGGAUUAGAUACCCUGGUAGUCCACGCUGUAAACGCUGUCGAUUUGGGGGUUGGGGUUUAACUCUGGCGCCCGUAGCUAACGUGAUAAAUCGACCGCCUGGGGAGUACGGCCGCAAGGUUA